CAAUAGCGUAUAUUUAAGUUGUUGCAGUUAAAAAGCUCGUAGUUGGAUUUCGGAUGGGAUUUGCCGGUCCGUCGUUACGAUGUGCACUGGCCAGUCCUAUCUUGUUGUCGGGGACUAGCUCCUUGGAUUCACUUCCUGGGACUAGGAGCUGACGAGGUUACUUUGAGUAAAUUAGAGUGUUCAAAGCAAGCCUACGCUCUGAAUACAUUAGCAUGGAAUAACACGAUAGGACUCUGGCUUAUCUUGUUGGUCUGUGAGACCAGAGUAAUGAUUAAGAGGGACAGUCGGGGACAUUCGUAUGUCAUUGUCAGAGGUGAAAUUCUUGGAUUUAUGAAAGACGAACUUCUGCGAAAGCAUUUGUCAAGGAUGUUUUCAUUAA
RNAcentral lists this ribosomal RNA (379 nucleotides) under uncultured eukaryote. Its description in RNAcentral is "partial 18S ribosomal RNA". It matches the Rfam family "Eukaryotic small subunit ribosomal RNA", at positions 592 to 976 of the family's 1831-position model. The record is from RNAcentral.